ACUCGAGUGGCGAACGGGUGAGUAACACGUGGGUGAUCUGCCCUGCACUUUGGGAUAAGCCUGGGAAACUGGGUCUAAUACCGGAUAUACCUCAUGGGCUGCAUGGUUUGUGAGGGAAAGCUUUUGCGGUGUGGGAUGGGCCCGCGGCCUAUCAGCUUGUUGGUGGGGUGAUGGCCUACCAAGGCGGCGACGGGUAGCCGGCCUGAGAGGGUGACCGGCCACACUGGGACUGAGAUACGGCCCAGACUCCUACGGGAGGCAGCAGUGGGGAAUAUUGCACAAUGGGCGCAAGCCUGAUGCAGCGACGCCGCGUGAGGGAUGACGGCCUUCGGGUUGUAAACCUCUUUCAGCAGGGACGAAGCGCAAGUGACGGUACCUGUAGAAGAAGGACCGGCCAACUACGUGCCAGCAGCCGCGGAAUACGUAGGGUCCGAGCGUUGUCCGGAAUUACUGGGCGUAAAGAGCUCGUAGGUGGUUUGUCGCGUCGUUCGUGAAAACUCACA
Molecule: ribosomal RNA, 503 nt
Filed under: Mycolicibacterium tusciae
Lineage: Bacteria; Bacillati; Actinomycetota; Actinomycetes; Mycobacteriales; Mycobacteriaceae
Description: bacterial SSU rRNA
Rfam family: Bacterial small subunit ribosomal RNA
Source: RNAcentral